This 73-nucleotide transfer RNA is filed under the name Spirochaetaceae bacterium. RNAcentral describes it as "tRNA-Trp". It matches the Rfam family "tRNA". Rfam says of the family: Transfer RNA (tRNA) molecules are approximately 80 nucleotides in length. The record is from RNAcentral. Lineage: Bacteria; Pseudomonadati; Spirochaetota; Spirochaetia; Spirochaetales; Spirochaetaceae.
AGGCCAGUAGCUCGAACGGCAGAGCGCCGGUCUCCAAAACCGGAUGUUGCAGGUUCGAAUCCUGCCUGGCCUG